RNAcentral lists this ribosomal RNA (424 nucleotides) under uncultured bacterium. RNAcentral describes it as "bacterial SSU rRNA". It matches the Rfam family "Bacterial small subunit ribosomal RNA", at positions 358 to 773 of the family's 1533-position model. The record is from RNAcentral.
GGACUAUUGCGCAAUGGUCGAAAGACUGACGCAGCGACGCCGCGUGUGGGAGGAAGCCCUUCGUGGUGUAAACCACUGUCAGGGGGGAAGAACCCUGGUUACGAAAACAUCGUCGCCAGCUGCCGGUACCCCCAGAGGAAGCCCCGGCUAACUCCGUGCCAGCAGCCGCGGUAAGACGGAGGGCGCAAGCGGUGUUCGGAAUUACUGGGCGUAAAGCGCAGGCAGGCGGUCUGUUAAGUCCUCUGUGAAACUCCGGGGCUCAACCCCGGACUUGCAGAAGAUACUGGCAGGCUAGAGAGUGGUAGAGGCAAGCGGAAUUCCUGGUGUAGCGGUGGAAUGCGUAGAUAUCAGGAAGAACACCUGUGGCGAAGGCGGCUUGCUGGGCCAUUUCUGACGCUCAUCUGCGAAAGCGUGGGGAGCAAAC